CAUACGAACUUCCACAUAUGUAAAACACAAGAUGAAGAGAGAGCCAGCUAGAAAGAGGGCCUUGAUCUAAUGGUGAUCAAAACUGAACUCCUCUCUACAAAGCCAGAACCUCUCAUAAUUUAUACAGAAGGAUACAAAAUGGAUAUGAGGGUAGGUUACAUUGUGUCAAAGGGACAAAGACAAGUUCCCUCUCACAGUCAUUUAGCUAACACAUGUAAUCUGUUCUGGGAAAGGGGGUUUUGGUUAUUGGGAGAAAGACAGGAAGUCUUUUGUUUUGGAGGUUUGGGGGCUCUUAUCGAGUGUAUACAAUUUGGGGUUUAUUUGGCUAGAAUUAAACAAAUGUCUUGGAAGGAGGUCUGGUAUUUCGCAGGGUGGGUCUUAUCUGUAUAGGGGCAUAUACUGAGUGAUAUUACAUAUUAUUACCAAGGGGUGUAGACUUGUACUACCAUUACAUAGCAAUAUAAAGGAAUUGGUGUGCACCUAAACUUGGACUACAAUUUAAAAAGGAUACAUCAUUCUGGAUAAUCACCAUUCGUUCAUCAUUUUUUUCCUGGGCCUUGAUAACUGCAUAAAUAAGCUUCACCUGAGGAAUGGAAAAACUGUUGUCCAAGGAGACUGGGUGGCUGUGUUUUAUUCAGGCAGCAGAUUCCCCCCAUUGGACAAGUUUCGCACCUGGACAAUGUAAAUGGUAUUGCCUCUGUCCGAUUUCUGAAAGGGCGGAUCAGGCUUUCCAAGACAGAUGUUCAGGACGUGGAGGCCGAUCAGUUUAUCAUUUGCACCCUUCGUGUACAGUACGUGCAUGAAAAGGAUGAAUUUUUUACACACCCUCUUAUGAAGGACAAAGUAGAAAUUGCUAAACAAAUGUAUAGUGAAUUUCAUAUGUGACUCCCUUUCCUCAAACCCACAUAAAGUGGCCAGAUAUAUGUGCUAUGAGCCAAAAUGUGUGAAUUAUAGUAGGCUUUUUGCAUUUUGAGGUACGAUGAUUACUAAGGACACAUAUUCCUUGGAUCAAAA
Long non-coding RNA from Strongylocentrotus purpuratus (purple sea urchin), 1014 nucleotides. RefSeq lists it as uncharacterized. The record is from RefSeq and is a predicted model, not a curated record. NCBI's taxonomy places the organism in Eukaryota, Metazoa, Echinodermata, Echinoidea, Camarodonta, Strongylocentrotidae. The transcript has 2 exons.